RNAcentral lists this ribosomal RNA (305 nucleotides) under uncultured archaeon. RNAcentral describes it as "bacterial SSU rRNA". It matches the Rfam family "Archaeal small subunit ribosomal RNA", at positions 513 to 818 of the family's 1478-position model. The record is from RNAcentral.
AAGCAUCCGUAGCCGGCUAUGCAAGUCUCCGGUUAAAUCCACCUGCUUAACAGAUGGGCCGCUGGAGAUACUACAGAGCUAGGGAGUGGGAGAGGCAGACGGUAUUCGGGGGGUAGGGGUAAAAUCCUCUGAUCCUCCGAGGACCACCAGUGGCGAAGGCGGUCUGCCAGAACACGUUCGACGGUGAGGGAUGAAAGCUGGGGGAGCAAACCGGAUUAGAUACCCGGGUAGUCCCAGCUGUAAACGAUGCAAACUCGGUGAUGCAUUGGCUUAUGGCCAAUGCAGUGCCGCAGGGAAGCCGUUAA